Molecule: ribosomal RNA, 651 nt
Filed under: uncultured bacterium
Lineage: Bacteria
Description: bacterial SSU rRNA
Rfam family: Bacterial small subunit ribosomal RNA
Source: RNAcentral
GUGUGGGUCCAUUCCACGGGGUCCGUGCCGCAGCUAACGCAUUAAGCGCCCCGCCUGGGGAGUACGGCCGCAAGGCUAAAACUCAAAGGAAUUGACGGGGGCCCGCACAAGCGGCGGAGCAUGCGGAUUAAUUCGAUGCAACGCGAAGAACCUUACCAAGGCUUGACAUGUACCGGAAACUCCCAGAGAUGGGGGCCCCGCAAGGUCGGUACACAGGUGGUGCAUGGUUGUCGUCAGCUCGUGUCGUGAGAUGUUGGGUUAAGUCCCGCAACGAGCGCAACCCUCGUUCUAUGUUGCCAGCACGUGAUGGUGGGGACUCAUAGGAGACUGCCGGGGUCAACUCGGAGGAAGGUGGGGAUGACGUCAAAUCAUCAUGCCCCUUACGUCUUGGGCUUCACGCAUGCUACAAUGGCCGGUACAGAGGGCUGCGAAACCGUGAGGUGGAGCGAAUCCCUUAAAGCUGGUCUCAGUUCGGAUUGGGGUCUGCAACUCGACCCCAUGAAGUCGGAGUCGCUAGUAAUCGCAGAUCAGCAACGCUGCGGUGAAUACGUUCCCGGGCCUUGUACACACCGCCCGUCAAGUCACGAAAGUCGGUAACACCCGAAGCCGGUGGCCUAACCCUUGUGGAGGGAGCCGUCGAAGGUGGGGCUG